This 264-nucleotide ribosomal RNA is filed under the name uncultured archaeon. RNAcentral's name for it is "partial 16S ribosomal RNA". It matches the Rfam family "Archaeal small subunit ribosomal RNA", at positions 717 to 982 of the family's 1478-position model. The record is from RNAcentral.
AGACGUCUACAUUAGAUACCCGGGUAGUCCCAGCCGUAAACGAUGUGCGUUAGGUGUAUCGACGACCACGAGUUGUCGAGGUGCCGAAGGGAAACCGUGAAACGUACCGCCUGGGAAGUACGGUCGCAAGGCUGAAACUUAAAGGAAUUGCGGGGGAGCACCACAACAGGUGGAGCCUGCGGUUUAAUUGGACUCAACGCCGGACAUCUCACCGGAUAAGACAGCUGAAUGAUUGCCGGGCUGAAGACUCUGCAUGACUAGCUG